Molecule: long non-coding RNA, 1011 nt
Filed under: Anas platyrhynchos platyrhynchos (common mallard)
Lineage: Eukaryota; Metazoa; Chordata; Aves; Anseriformes; Anatidae
Description: lncRNA (ENSAPLG00000026735.1)
Source: RNAcentral
AUGUUAAAGAGUAAUUUCAGUACAGUUUCUCUUUCACAGUUAGUGGAGUUUUCCUCAAUUUUGAUAGUAUUGACUGACUCAUCUGCAGACUGGGCCCUUGGGAUUACCUCAGUAUCAGCAUGCUUCUGCCAGGUAGUUCGUCUGUCAAAAUGGAAUAAUUUUUGUCUGACCUACUUAAACAUUUCCUAUUCAUGUCUAUAAGGCACCAUUGCUUGAACUUAAUUCAUUAAUUCUAUAUAUAGAUAUCACAUGGAUAUGCUAAUACUUGUGAUGAAUGGAGAUGUCCAAAGCAUGGGUGAAAUAUAUAUAUAUAUAUUAAUUUUCUCUUUAAGUAUUAUUUCUUGCAACAAGAAAUCAGGUAAUCGGAAAGGUAGUGUCUGUUUCUCAUAGCUCACAGCUGAGGUUUAAGUAUGCAAAUAGGACUUAUACCAUUAUAGCAAUUAUCAAACUGUAAACUUGAUAAUGUGUUUAUAUACAUAUGUGUGUCUCUGUAUAUACGUAUAAAAUGUUGCUAUUUUCAGGCAGCAAUUCAACAUAAAACAAAAACAAAAAAGAAAGUUCCCGAUAUCUAAAUGGAUUUUAUAACUUUCAAAAUUACGCCGCUGUUUUUUCUUUGCAUGGAGGUUGUCACUGUAGGCAAUUAUAGGGAUAAGGUAUUUUUUGAAAAAGUUUCAGACAAAGUAUCAACUUAGGUUACUUUCUGGAGACAUCAAUUUCUGAAAAUGCUGACCAUGGCUGGUAAAGCAGUCUAGUUUUCAAAGCAGUAACUGUUGCAUAGUGCAGCCUUUCAUAGAAAUGUGGACAGAUAGUCAUGAACUGUUUGAGAAGAGGGCAAAAAGAAUUACCAGUGAAUUAAAUGAAAAUUAACUUUAUACUUUCUCAGUUAUUUAGCAACAGAAAUGUUUGGAAUGUUCCACCAAAUAUUUUUGAACAUCUAUUCAAAGGACAGUAGGAAUGAAAAGUUUUUAACAGGCGUAAUAAAUUUGUAGUGUUAAGGGAUAAAUUAUACCA